This 518-nucleotide ribosomal RNA is filed under the name uncultured bacterium. Its description in RNAcentral is "bacterial SSU rRNA". It matches the Rfam family "Bacterial small subunit ribosomal RNA", at positions 32 to 524 of the family's 1533-position model. The record is from RNAcentral.
AAUCAACGCUGGCGGCGUGCCUCAGACAUGCAAGUCGAACGCGAAAGUCCCCUUCGGGGGACGAAGUAGAGUGGCGCACGGGUGAGUAACACGUAGGUAAUCUACCUUUGGAUGGGGAAUAACCACCGGAAACGGUGGCUAAUACCGCAUAAUGCAGCGGCACCUAAUGGUGACAGUUGUUAAAGCGGGGGAUCGAAAGACCUCGCGUCUGAAGAGGAGCCUGCGGCGGAUUAGCUAGUUGGAAGGUAAUGGCUUACCAAGGCGACGAUCCGUAACCGGCCUGAGAGGGGCGGUCGGUCACACUGACACUGACAUACGGGUCAGACUCCUACGGGAGGCAGCAGUCGGGAAUUUUGGGCAAUGGGCGAAAGCCUGACCCAGCAACGCCGCGUGAAGGAUGAAAUCCCUCGGGAUGUAAACUUCGCAAGAACGGGAAGAAUAAGUAGGGGACAAUAACCCCUAUGAUGACGGUACCGUUUGUAAGCUCCGGCUAACUCCGUGCCAGCCGCCGCGGUAAG